RNAcentral lists this ribosomal RNA (2921 nucleotides) under Klebsiella pneumoniae subsp. pneumoniae. Its description in RNAcentral is "bacterial LSU rRNA". It matches the Rfam family "Bacterial large subunit ribosomal RNA". The record is from RNAcentral. Lineage: Bacteria; Pseudomonadati; Pseudomonadota; Gammaproteobacteria; Enterobacterales; Enterobacteriaceae.
GGGUUGUGAGGUUAAGCGACUAAGCGUACACGGUGGAUGCCCUGGCAGUCAGAGGCGAUGAAGGACGUGCUAAUCUGCGAAAAGCGUCGGUAAGGUGAUAUGAACCGUUAUAACCGGCGAUGUCCGAAUGGGGAAACCCAGUGCAAUUCGUUGCACUAUCGUUAACUGAAUACAUAGGUUAACGAGGCGAACCGGGGGAACUGAAACAUCUAAGUACCCCGAGGAAAAGAAAUCAACCGAGAUUCCCCAGUAGCGGCGAGCGAACGGGGAGCAGCCCAGAGUCUGAAUCAGCUUGUGUGUUAGUGGAACGGUCUGGAAAGUCCGACGGUACAGGGUGAUAGUCCCGUACACCAAAAUGCACAGGCUGUGAACUCGAAGAGUAGGGCGGGACACGUGGUAUCCUGUCUGAAUAUGGGGGGACCAUCCUCCAAGGCUAAAUACUCCUGACUGACCGAUAGUGAACCAGUACCGUGAGGGAAAGGCGAAAAGAACCCCGGCGAGGGGAGUGAAAAAGAACCUGAAACCGUGUACGUACAAGCAGUGGGAGCACCUUCGGGUGUGACUGCGUACCUUUUGUAUAAUGGGUCAGCGACUUAUAUUCUGUAGCAAGGUUAACCGUAUAGGGGAGCCGCAGGGAAACCGAGUCUUAACUGGGCGUUAAGUUGCAGGGUAUAGACCCGAAACCCGGUGAUCUAGCCAUGGGCAGGUUGAAGGUUGGGUAACACUAACUGGAGGACCGAACCGACUAAUGUUGAAAAAUUAGCGGAUGACUUGUGGCUGGGGGUGAAAGGCCAAUCAAACCGGGAGAUAGCUGGUUCUCCCCGAAAGCUAUUUAGGUAGCGCCUCGUGAAUUCAUCUUCGGGGGUAGAGCACUGUUUCGGCUAGGGGGUCAUCCCGACUUACCAACCCGAUGCAAACUACGAAUACCGAAGAAUGUUAUCACGGGAGACACACGGCGGGUGCUAACGUCCGUCGUGAAGAGGGAAACAACCCAGACCGCCAGCUAAGGUCCCAAAGUCAUGGUUAAGUGGGAAACGAUGUGGGAAGGCACAGACAGCCAGGAUGUUGGCUUAGAAGCAGCCAUCAUUUAAAGAAAGCGUAAUAGCUCACUGGUCGAGUCGGCCUGCGCGGAAGAUGUAACGGGGCUAAACCAUGCACCGAAGCUGCGGCAGCGACACUAUGUGUUGUUGGGUAGGGGAGCGUUCUGUAAGCCUGCGAAGGUGUGCUGUGAGGCAUGCUGGAGGUAUCAGAAGUGCGAAUGCUGACAUAAGUAACGAUAAAGCGGGUGAAAAGCCCGCUCGCCGGAAGACCAAGGGUUCCUGUCCAACGUUAAUCGGGGCAGGGUGAGUCGACCCCUAAGGCGAGGCCGAAAGGCGUAGUCGAUGGGAAACAGGUUAAUAUUCCUGUACUUGGUGUUACUGCGAAGGGGGACGGAGAAGGCUAUGUUAGCCGGGCGACGGUUGUCCCGGUUUAAGCAUGUAGGCUGGUUGUCCAGGCAAAUCCGGAUAAUCAAGGCUGAGGUGUGAUGACGAGGCACUACGGUGCUGAAGUAACAAAUGCCCUGCUUCCAGGAAAAGCCUCUAAGCAUCAGGUAACAUCAAAUCGUACCCCAAACCGACACAGGUGGUCAGGUAGAGAAUACCAAGGCGCUUGAGAGAACUCGGGUGAAGGAACUAGGCAAAAUGGUGCCGUAACUUCGGGAGAAGGCACGCUGGUGUGUAGGUGAAGCCCCUGCGGGUGGAGCUGAGACCAGUCGAAGAUACCAGCUGGCUGCAACUGUUUAUUAAAAACACAGCACUGUGCAAACACGAAAGUGGACGUAUACGGUGUGACGCCUGCCCGGUGCCGGAAGGUUAAUUGAUGGGGUUAUCCGUAAGGAGAAGCUCUUGAUCGAAGCCCCGGUAAACGGCGGCCGUAACUAUAACGGUCCUAAGGUAGCGAAAUUCCUUGUCGGGUAAGUUCCGACCUGCACGAAUGGCGUAAUGAUGGCCAGGCUGUCUCCACCCGAGACUCAGUGAAAUUGAACUCGCUGUGAAGAUGCAGUGUACCCGCGGCAAGACGGAAAGACCCCGUGAACCUUUACUAUAGCUUGACACUGAACAUUGAGCCUUGAUGUGUAGGAUAGGUGGGAGGCUUUGAAGCGUGGACGCCAGUCUGCGUGGAGCCAACCUUGAAAUACCACCCUUUAAUGUUUGAUGUUCUAACGUUGGCCCCUGACCGGGGUUGCGGACAGUGUCUGGUGGGUAGUUUGACUGGGGCGGUCUCCUCCCAAAGCGUAACGGAGGAGCACGAAGGUUAGCUAAUCCUGGUCGGACAUCAGGAGGUUAGUGCAAUGGCAUAAGCUAGCUUGACUGCGAGCGUGACGGCGCGAGCAGGUGCGAAAGCAGGUCAUAGUGAUCCGGUGGUUCUGAAUGGAAGGGCCAUCGCUCAACGGAUAAAAGGUACUCCGGGGAUAACAGGCUGAUACCGCCCAAGAGUUCAUAUCGACGGCGGUGUUUGGCACCUCGAUGUCGGCUCAUCACAUCCUGGGGCUGAAGUAGGUCCCAAGGGUAUGGCUGUUCGCCAUUUAAAGUGGUACGCGAGCUGGGUUUAGAACGUCGUGAGACAGUUCGGUCCCUAUCUGCCGUGGGCGCUGGAGAAUUGAGGGGGGCUGCUCCUAGUACGAGAGGACCGGAGUGGACGCAUCACUGGUGUUCGGGUUGUCAUGCCAAUGGCACUGCCCGGUAGCUAAAUGCGGAAGAGAUAAGUGCUGAAAGCAUCUAAGCACGAAACUUGCCCCGAGAUGAGUUCUCCCUGAGACUUUAAGUCUCCUGAAGGAACGUUAAAGACGAUGACGUUGAUAGGCCGGGUGUGUAAGCGCAGCGAUGCGUUGAGCUAACCGGUACUAAUGAACCGUGAGGCUUAACCUUACAACGCCGAAG